AACUUUUUGGCUGAUAGGAAAGCAUGUGUUUUGAAAACACCAAAUAAAUGUUCGAAUCAUUUAAAAGUUU
This 70-nucleotide transfer RNA is filed under the name Halicryptus spinulosus. Its description in RNAcentral is "transfer RNA-Ser (UCN)". It matches the Rfam family "tRNA". Rfam says of the family: Transfer RNA (tRNA) molecules are approximately 80 nucleotides in length. Their secondary structure includes four short double-helical elements and three loops (D, anti-codon, and T loops). Lineage: Eukaryota; Metazoa; Priapulida; Priapulimorpha; Priapulimorphida; Priapulidae. The record is from RNAcentral.